GGGAGGAACAACCCCAGUGGCGGCAGCCAGCUCUGGAGCCCUGGAGUCAGCUCCUGCAGUAACUAAAGAGCUCUCCGUCUGCAGGGCCUGGAGGCUCCGGGGCGGG
This 106-nucleotide microRNA precursor is filed under the name Canis lupus familiaris (dog). RNAcentral's name for it is "mir-8834 microRNA precursor family". It matches the Rfam family "mir-8834 microRNA precursor family". Lineage: Eukaryota; Metazoa; Chordata; Mammalia; Carnivora; Canidae. The record is from Rfam by way of RNAcentral. RNAcentral also lists the same sequence under 1 other name.